Molecule: ribosomal RNA, 460 nt
Filed under: uncultured bacterium
Lineage: Bacteria
Description: partial 16S ribosomal RNA
Rfam family: Bacterial small subunit ribosomal RNA
Source: RNAcentral
CCUACGGGAGGCAGCAGUGAGGAAUAUUGGUCAAUGGACGAGAGUCUGAACCAGCCAAGUAGCGUGAAGGAUGACUGCCCUAUGGGUUGUAAACUUCUUUUAUAUGGGAAUAAAACGUUCCACGUGUGGGAUUUUGUAUGUACCAUAUGAAUAAGGAUCGGCUAACUCCGUUCCAGCAGCCGCGGUAAUACGGAGGAUCCGAGCGUUAUCCGGAUUUAUUGGGUUUAAAGGGAGCGUAGGUGGUUUGUUAAGUCAGUUGUGAAAGUUUGCGGCUCAACCGUAAAAUUGCAGUUGAAACUGGCAGUCUUGAGUACAGUAGAGGUGGGCGGAAUUCGUGGUGUAGCGGUGAAAUGCUUAGAUAUCACGAAGAACUCCGAUUGCGAAGGCAGUUCACUGGACUGCAACUGACACUGAGGCUCGAAAGUGUGGGUAUCAAACAGGAUUAGAUACCCCAGUAGUC